GGGGGUGUAGCUCAGCCAGUAGAGUGCUUGCCUCGAAUGCACAAGGCCCUGGGUUCAAGCCCAGCACCACAC
This 72-nucleotide transfer RNA is filed under the name Ictidomys tridecemlineatus (thirteen-lined ground squirrel). RNAcentral's name for it is "Spermophilus tridecemlineatus (thirteen-lined ground squirrel) tRNA". It matches the Rfam family "tRNA". Rfam says of the family: Transfer RNA (tRNA) molecules are approximately 80 nucleotides in length. Their secondary structure includes four short double-helical elements and three loops (D, anti-codon, and T loops). Further hydrogen bonds mediate the characteristic L-shaped molecular structure. tRNAs have two regions of fundamental functional importance: the anti-codon, which is responsible for specific mRNA codon recognition, and the 3' end, to which the tRNAs corresponding amino acid is attached (by aminoacyl-tRNA synthetases). tRNAs cope with the degeneracy of the genetic code in two manners: having more than one tRNA (with a specific anti-codon) for a particular amino acid; and 'wobble' base-pairing, i.e. permitting non-standard base-pairing at the 3rd anti-codon position. Lineage: Eukaryota; Metazoa; Chordata; Mammalia; Rodentia; Sciuridae. The record is from Rfam by way of RNAcentral.